Molecule: unclassified non-coding RNA, 376 nt
Filed under: uncultured fungus
Lineage: Eukaryota; Fungi
Description: partial contains 5.8S ribosomal RNA and internal transcribed spacer 2
Rfam family: 5.8S ribosomal RNA (bases 1-133)
Source: RNAcentral
UGGCUCUCCCAUCGAUGAAGAACGCAGCGAAAUGCGAUAAGUAAUGUGAAUUGCAGAAUUCAGUGAAUCAUCGAAUCUUUGAACGCACCUUGCGCCCUUUGGUAUUCCGAAGGGCAUGCCUGUUUGAGUGUCAUUAAAUUCUCAACCUUUGAAUUCGUUUUCAAAGGCUUGGAUGUGAGGGCUUGCUGGCUUCCUUCAGUGGCGGUCUGCUCCCUUUAAAUGCAUUAGUGGGAUCCUUUGUGGACGGUCACUUGGUGUGAUAAUUAUCUACGCCGCUUGUACUGUGAAGCAAAACCUAUGGGAACCCGCUCAUAACCGUCUGUAAUGGACAAUUUUUUGAACAUUUGGCCUCAAAUCAGGUAGGACUACCCGCUGA